ACGGAAGGCAGCAGUGGGGGAUAUUGCACAAUGGGGGAAACCCUGAUGCAGCGACGCCGCGUGAGUGAAGAAGUAUUUCGGUAUGUAAAGCUCUAUCAGCAGGAAAGAUAAUGACGGUACCUGACUAAGAAGCACCGGCUAAAUACGUGCCAGCAGCCGCGGUAAUACGUAUGGUGCAAGCGUUAUCCGGAUUUACUGGGUGUAAAGGGAGCGCAGACGGCAUGGCAAGCCAGAUGUGAAAGGCAGGGGCUCAACUCCUGGACUGCAUUUGGAACUGUCAAGCUAGAGUAUCAGAGAGGUAAGUGGAAUUCCUAGUGUAGCGGUGAAAUGCGUAGAUAUUAGGAGGAACACCAGUGGCGAAGGCGGCUUACUGGACGAUAACUGACGUUGAGGCUCGAAAGCGUGGGGAGCAAACAGGAUUAGAUACCCUGGUA
This 434-nucleotide ribosomal RNA is filed under the name uncultured Lachnospiraceae bacterium. RNAcentral's name for it is "partial 16S ribosomal RNA". It matches the Rfam family "Bacterial small subunit ribosomal RNA", at positions 341 to 792 of the family's 1533-position model. Lineage: Bacteria; Bacillati; Bacillota; Clostridia; Lachnospirales; Lachnospiraceae. The record is from RNAcentral.